UCCCUGGUAGCUCAGCUAGUAAAGAAUCCACCUUGAAGGCAGGAGACCUAGGUUCAAUUCCUGGCUUGGGAA
RNAcentral lists this transfer RNA (72 nucleotides) under Bos taurus (domestic cattle). It matches the Rfam family "tRNA". Rfam says of the family: Transfer RNA (tRNA) molecules are approximately 80 nucleotides in length. Their secondary structure includes four short double-helical elements and three loops (D, anti-codon, and T loops). Lineage: Eukaryota; Metazoa; Chordata; Mammalia; Artiodactyla; Bovidae. RNAcentral also lists the same sequence under 2 other names. The record is from Rfam by way of RNAcentral.